UAUUAUUAUAAUUUAAAAAUUAAUAUAUUAAGGUAGUAGUAGUUAUAGUCUUGAAACCUAAAAAAUUUGGCGGUAUUUUAGUCUAUUCAGAGGAACCUGUUCUAUAAUCGAUAAUCCACGAUGGACCUAACUUAAAUUUGUAUUCAGUUUAUAUAUCGUUGUUAUAAAAUAUUUUAUAAGAAUAAUAAUAUUUUUAAUUUUUUAUAAAAAAAUAUAUCAGAUCAAGGUGUAGCUUAUAUUUAAGAAGAAAUGGGUUACAAUAAAAUUAUUUAUAUGAAUAUAAAUUUGAAAUGUUUAUUGAAGGUGGAUUUGAUAGUAAAUUUAUAUAGAUAAAUAAAUUGAUUUUAGCUCUAAAAUAUGUA
This 362-nucleotide ribosomal RNA is filed under the name Olfersia spinifera. Its description in RNAcentral is "partial 12S ribosomal RNA". Lineage: Eukaryota; Metazoa; Arthropoda; Insecta; Diptera; Hippoboscidae. The record is from RNAcentral.